GAAUACCUGCGGUGUUCGAGAUCCAAGUAAUUCAACCGACAUUUUGAGUAAGGGAGUUCGGAGUUUCUCUAGGGAUGGAAUGCCUGUUUAACAGGACUUCAAAACUGGAGAACAGAACACCCACCUGCAAACCAGCGGGCGUGAAUUAGAAGGAUUACGGCACUGUGGGUUUUAA
Molecule: non-coding RNA, 175 nt
Filed under: Clostridiales bacterium
Lineage: Bacteria; Bacillati; Bacillota; Clostridia; Eubacteriales
Also listed under: 1 other name
Description: 6S RNA
Rfam family: 6S / SsrS RNA
About the family: E. coli 6S RNA was the first non coding RNA to be sequenced, but its function was unknown until recently.
Source: RNAcentral